This 252-nucleotide ribosomal RNA is filed under the name uncultured bacterium. RNAcentral describes it as "partial 16S ribosomal RNA". It matches the Rfam family "Bacterial small subunit ribosomal RNA", at positions 524 to 776 of the family's 1533-position model. The record is from RNAcentral.
UACGUAGGUGGCGAGCGUUGUCCGGAUUUACUGGGCGUAAAGCGCGCGCAGGCGGACUGAUCAGUCUGGGGUGAAAUCUCACGGCUCAACUGUGAGCGGUCCCUGGAUACUGUCAGUCUUGAGAUGUCUAGAGGAGAGCGGAAUUCCCGGUGUAGUGUGGAAUGCGUAGAUAUCGGGAAGAACACCAGUGGCGAAAGCGGCUCUCUGGGGACCAUCUGACGCUGAGGCGCGAAAGCGUGGGGAGCGAACCGG